Molecule: ribosomal RNA, 669 nt
Filed under: uncultured fungus
Lineage: Eukaryota; Fungi
Description: eukaryotic LSU rRNA
Rfam family: 5.8S ribosomal RNA (bases 178-331)
Source: RNAcentral
CAUUAAUGGAUGUUGAAUUGGGUUGUUGCUGGCCCUCAGGGGCAUGUGCACAUCCAUCACUUUCAUUCAUCCCUGUGCACUCACUGUAGACAUCGUUGUGUGAUGUCUAUGCCUUUUUUUCACACACACUACAUAGACUGUGAAUGUGGAUCAGAUCCUCAGGAUCUAUAUCUAUACAACUUUUAGCAAUGGAUCUCUUGGCUCUCGCAUCGAUGAAGAACGCAGCGAAUUGCGAUAUGUAAUGUGAAUUGCAGAAUUCAGUGAAUCAUCGAAUCUUUGAACGCACCUUGCGCCCUUUGGUAUUCCGAAGGGCAUGCCUGUUUGAGCAUCAUUGAACAAAUCAACCUUUACAAGUUUUGUAAAGGUUGGACUGUGAGGGCCUGCAGGUGUCUUGAUACCGGCUCCCUUUAAAUUGAUCAGCGAGUGCUUUUCCACUGGCUCUGGAUUGAUAAGUCUGUCCAUCUGUUGUCACUGGAAUGGCCUGCUUCAAAUUGUCCCCUGCGGACUGUCCUUGUGGGCAUAUCUUUGAUCUUGAUCUCAAAUCAGGUAGGACUACCCGCUGAACUUAAGCAUAUCAAUAAGCGGAGGAAAAGAAACUAACAAGGAUUCCCCUAGUAACUGCGAGUGAAGCGGGAAGAGCUCAAAUUUAAAAUCUGACAGUCUCACUGU